UACGUAGGGGGCUAGCGUUAUCCGGAAUUACUGGGCGUAAAGGGUGCGUAGGUGGUUUCUUAAGUCAGAGGUGAAAGGCUACGGCUCAACCGUAGUAAGCCUUUGAAACUGAGAAACUUGAGUGCAGGAGAGGAGAGUGGAAUUCCUAGUGUAGCGGUGAAAUGCGUAGAUAUUAGGAGGAACACCAGUUGCGAAGGCGGCUCUCUGGACUGUAACUGACACUGAGGCACGAAAGCGUGGGGAGCAAACAGGAUUAGAUACCCUGGUAGUCCCUGA
This 276-nucleotide ribosomal RNA is filed under the name uncultured prokaryote. Its description in RNAcentral is "partial 16S ribosomal RNA". It matches the Rfam family "Bacterial small subunit ribosomal RNA", at positions 524 to 800 of the family's 1533-position model. The record is from RNAcentral.